GACGUCAUCACAAAAAGAGUAUAAAAGGCGUCAAGAACGCGACGCUCAUUCUUGCACUCACCACUGACAGCGAGAGCCACGUCGCUCCGGUCCACCUGCUGCGCCGGCCGUACAACAGCGUUUGAAAGUGACAAGCGUCUAGUUGCACUUUGGGAGUGUUCCCAUCUUGCAAAAGUUUGCAGACGCUAGCGUUAGCAGUUAACAUCUUCAACGACCACCAAAACGCAUUUGUCUGGCGUGCAACCAAACAAUUGAAGCAGUUAACGGUGGCAACGUCUGGACGACAGCGCCGUUUGGCCGAAGGUGCAAACCCUUAAAACGAUCCCGUCAUGGCCGACUGACUUUCUGUGAGUUUUAAAGUAGACUCAUUCAAUCGAAUGCUUUUAAUGGUCUUCUCAUUUCUGUCCACA
Syngnathus typhle (broad-nosed pipefish) is the source of this 410-nucleotide long non-coding RNA. RefSeq lists it as uncharacterized. The record is from RefSeq and is a predicted model, not a curated record. The transcript is spliced from 4 exons. NCBI's taxonomy places the organism in Eukaryota, Metazoa, Chordata, Actinopteri, Syngnathiformes, Syngnathidae.